CAGCCGCCACGGUAAUAUGGAGGGGGCUAGCGUUGUUCGGAAUUACUGGGCGUAAAGCGCACGUAGGUGGCUUGGUAAGUUAGAGGUGAAAGCCUGGAGCUCAACUCCAGAAUUGCCUUUAAGACUGCCGAGCUAGCAGGUGAGAGAGGUAAGUGGAAUUCCGAGUGUAGAGGUGAAAUUCGUAGAUAUUCGGAAGAACACCAGUGGCGAAGGCGGCUUACUGGCUCAUACUGGACGCUGAGGUGCGAAAGCGUGGGGAGCAAACAGGAUUAGAUACCCGCGUAGUCCCUGUCUCUAUACA
RNAcentral lists this ribosomal RNA (301 nucleotides) under uncultured bacterium. RNAcentral describes it as "partial 16S ribosomal RNA". It matches the Rfam family "Bacterial small subunit ribosomal RNA", at positions 509 to 808 of the family's 1533-position model. The record is from RNAcentral.